This 70-nucleotide transfer RNA is filed under the name Dipodomys ordii (Ord's kangaroo rat). It matches the Rfam family "tRNA". From Rfam's summary of the family: Transfer RNA (tRNA) molecules are approximately 80 nucleotides in length. Their secondary structure includes four short double-helical elements and three loops (D, anti-codon, and T loops). Further hydrogen bonds mediate the characteristic L-shaped molecular structure. tRNAs have two regions of fundamental functional importance: the anti-codon, which is responsible for specific mRNA codon recognition, and the 3' end, to which the tRNAs corresponding amino acid is attached (by aminoacyl-tRNA synthetases). tRNAs cope with the degeneracy of the genetic code in two manners: having more than one tRNA (with a specific anti-codon) for a particular amino acid; and 'wobble' base-pairing, i.e. permitting non-standard base-pairing at the 3rd anti-codon position. The record is from Rfam by way of RNAcentral. Lineage: Eukaryota; Metazoa; Chordata; Mammalia; Rodentia; Heteromyidae.
GGGAAGGUGGCUCAGAGGUAGAGUGCUUGCCUAACAUGCAUGAAGCCCUGGGUUCGAUUCCUUCAUGCCA